AUGCACACCAUUGCAUGUUGCUCGUUGCACGGUGCUGCACACAACGUCAGCGCACAUUGCUCCUCAGCUCCUGGUGCACCGCGCUGCACGGUGCUCGUUGCACGGAGCUGCUCAGCACUUUGCAGUUUCCUGCUCUGUCGCCACUUCCCGGUGGUUUAUCAGCACCCACAGCCGCUGCUGGAGCCCUGCACGUGGCCGUGCACACGCGUGAGGAUCGCACGUUGGCGCAUGCACAAGUGUGAGCACGAGCAGCCGUGCACCUGCACAAGGGUUUGCACGCGUCCUGCAGCUUUGCGACAGCAUGAGCACCUGUGCAUGGAAUGCGAGCAGCUGCGUGCACGGUGCAAGCGUGCAGAAGUGCAGGCAUCCGUGCAACAGCAUGAGCAGGGGUGUGCUGUCCCCAAGCUGUCCCAAAAUUGUCCCCAAACUGACCCCACGUUGUCCCCCACCUGUCCCCAACUUGUCCUCAAGCUAUCUCCAUGCUAUCCCCAAGUUGUCCCCAUGCUCUCUCCAUGUCAUCUCCCUGUUGUCCCCAAGUGGCCCCCAUGCUGGCUCCAAACUGUCCCCAGAUUGUCCCCACGUUGUCCCCAAGUCGUCCCCAAGCUGCCUCCAUGCUGUCCUCGCACUGUCCCCAAGUUGUCCCCAAGCUAUCCCCAUGCUGUCCCCAAGGGGUCCCAAAAUUGUCCCCAAACUGUCCCCAAGUGGUCCACAACUUGUCCCCAUGUCAUCCCCCAGCUGUCCCCAACUUGUCCCCAUGCUAUCCCCAAUUUGUCCCCACGCUGUCCCCAUGUUGCCUCCCUGUUGUCCCCAACUUGUCCUCAAGCUGAAGCCACUCUGGACCCACAAGGCCAGCGGUGCCCCCCGUGUUCCUGGGGACAGGGACCCCCCCGCAGCCCUGGGGACAUUCCCAGUCUCGGUGACGCUCGCAGGGCCACCGAUGUCCCCAAGAGCAGAGUGACACGAUGGCACCUCGACGGCAUCCUCACAGCGGAGGGAGCACGGAGAGACCCCCCCCAGAAUUCCCCCUUUUUUUUG
RNAcentral lists this long non-coding RNA (1035 nucleotides) under Numida meleagris (helmeted guineafowl). RNAcentral describes it as "lncRNA (ENSNMEG00000014264.1)". The record is from RNAcentral. Lineage: Eukaryota; Metazoa; Chordata; Aves; Galliformes; Numididae.